AAAUUGAAGAGUUUGAUCAUGGCUCAGAUUGAACGCUGGCGGCAGGCCUAACACAUGCAAGUCGAACGGUAACAGGAAGAAGCUUGCUUCUUUGCUGACGAGUGGCGGACGGGUGAGUAAUGUCUGGGAAACUGCCUGAUGGAGGGGGAUAACUACUGGAAACGGUAGCUAAUACCGCAUAACGUCGCAAGACCAAAGAGGGGGACCUUCGGGCCUCUUGCCAUCGGAUGUGCCCAGAUGGGAUUAGCUAGUAGGUGGGGUAACGGCUCACCUAGGCGACGAUCCCUAGCUGGUCUGAGAGGAUGACCAGCCACACUGGAACUGAGACACGGUCCAGACUCCUACGGGAGGCAGCAGUGGGGAAUAUUGCACAAUGGGCGCAAGCCUGAUGCAGCCAUGCCGCGUGUAUGAAGAAGGCCUUCGGGUUGUAAAGUACUUUCAGCGGGGAGGAAGGGAGUAAAGUUAAUACCUUUGCUCAUUGACGUUACCCGCAGAAGAAGCACCGGCUAACUCCGUGCCAGCAGCCGCGGUAAUACGGAGGGUGCAAGCGUUAAUCGGAAUUACUGGGCGUAAAGCGCACGCAGGCGGU
RNAcentral lists this ribosomal RNA (589 nucleotides) under Escherichia coli. RNAcentral's name for it is "bacterial SSU rRNA". It matches the Rfam family "Bacterial small subunit ribosomal RNA", at positions 1 to 579 of the family's 1533-position model. Lineage: Bacteria; Pseudomonadati; Pseudomonadota; Gammaproteobacteria; Enterobacterales; Enterobacteriaceae. The record is from RNAcentral.